This 254-nucleotide ribosomal RNA is filed under the name uncultured bacterium. Its description in RNAcentral is "partial 16S ribosomal RNA". It matches the Rfam family "Bacterial small subunit ribosomal RNA", at positions 524 to 776 of the family's 1533-position model. The record is from RNAcentral.
UACAGAGGUCCCGAGCGUUGUUCGGAUUUACUGGGCGUAAAGGGCGCGUAGGCGGCCAGCACAAGUCGGUUGUGAAAUCUCCGGGCUUAACUCGGAAAGGUCAACCGAUACUGUGCGGCUAGAGUGCGGAAGGGGCAACUGGAAUUCUCGGUGUAGCGGUGAAAUGCGCAGAUAUCGGGAGGAACACCAAUGGCGAAGGCAGCUCGCUGGGACGUUACUGACGCUGAGACGCGAAAGCGUGGGGAGCAAACAGG